GCCCCCGUAGCGCAAUUGGCAGAGGCAGCACGCUCAAACCGUGCAAUGGUGCUGGUUCGAAUCCAGCCGGGGGCA
This 75-nucleotide transfer RNA is filed under the name Dehalococcoidia bacterium. RNAcentral's name for it is "tRNA-Leu". It matches the Rfam family "tRNA". Rfam says of the family: Transfer RNA (tRNA) molecules are approximately 80 nucleotides in length. Their secondary structure includes four short double-helical elements and three loops (D, anti-codon, and T loops). Further hydrogen bonds mediate the characteristic L-shaped molecular structure. tRNAs have two regions of fundamental functional importance: the anti-codon, which is responsible for specific mRNA codon recognition, and the 3' end, to which the tRNAs corresponding amino acid is attached (by aminoacyl-tRNA synthetases). tRNAs cope with the degeneracy of the genetic code in two manners: having more than one tRNA (with a specific anti-codon) for a particular amino acid; and 'wobble' base-pairing, i.e. permitting non-standard base-pairing at the 3rd anti-codon position. Lineage: Bacteria; Bacillati; Chloroflexota; Dehalococcoidia. The record is from RNAcentral.